GUAGCAUCACCUCCUGGUUUGGGAACAGAACCAUGCAGAUCAGGCGAGCCCUCCAGAGGUGUUGCAGUCAGCUGAGUGUACUAUAAAACACAGAGCUCCCUGAUGACCUGCAGGACAUCUACAACAAGUGGUGCCAGACCAGGGCCACAAAGAAUGAGGACAAAAGUAUUGGGACGCCUUACUUUUCCGCAAUCUGUCACAACUAAGUUGGAGGCACACAAUUUUACAGGAUGUCCUUCAAUGAGGUUGGCAAAGUGUUCUUACGGUCUGUAAUCAUGCUGUUGAAGCAGGAGAACACAAUACAGACACCACACCAUCUUGUGUGUUCAUCUAAUCCUGUCCUCCUAAGAAGAAAAAAAGGUUGUGCAAACGAACAUGCGAGAACUAGUUACUAGAUAUACAGCAUGUGCUGUGGCAAAAAUAAGGAAUAUGAAAUUUUUUUUCCUUGAAUCAACUGUGCACAAUAAAUAAAAUAAUGUUUCUUUUAAAAAAA
Long non-coding RNA from Silurus meridionalis, 493 nucleotides. RefSeq lists it as uncharacterized. Lineage: Eukaryota; Metazoa; Chordata; Actinopteri; Siluriformes; Siluridae. The record is from RefSeq and is a predicted model, not a curated record. The transcript has 3 exons.